AGCUUCUCCAUCUAGGGGCAGUGAGGCCUGGUCAGUAAAGUAGAUGACCUGGUUCUGAGCCUGCCAAUGUCUGCUGUGGUUCUGCUGAAGUUUGGUUUCACAAAGACAAAAAGGUACCACUUCUUUCUCCUUAAGGAAAAAGAACGGAAACAAGAGUUGCGUCAAACACUGGGCGAAAAGACUACCAAGAAAAAAAACAGUCAUUUUAUGAGCCAUGAACUGCCCUGAAGACUUUGUUUCACAUUGAAGAAAGGACUCCAUUCAUAAGAGAACCACUUGCAUCUUCUCCCACUUUCCUUAACAAGAAACAGGAACCUGUUAAAUUUAAAGAUUGUGAAAGUUACAGAUGUGCAUACAUCCUAAAAUGUUUAUGAGUAAUUAUAUGACAAGCAGUCAUCAAAUAGUUUCAUUGUAGGCCAGAUGAUAGUCAUCUGCGGUAAGCCACCAAAAAGACAAAAAGGGAAGUGGGUAAGGAGAGCUGUUAGCAUUCUUUAAAGCAUUUAGCUAAAUGAAUAGACAAACUGGAAAAAGACAGUUUAAUUUUUAUCAUUAUGUUGUCCCACAUGUAAUGCAUAUGUACAUUCUUUUGAUUUAUGCUUCUCUUUGUAUCUCAUGCAGUUGUGCUUUUAUAAUACAAUACCAGUAAAUGGAGUUACUAGCUUACAUCGGAGGAGAGAUGUAUAUAUGUUAGAGAUAUACAUAUAUGCUAGAGACAGCAACUACUGGAUGAAAAGGAAAGGCCAACACAGUUUGCAAGAGCAGAUAAUGUGGAUGCAACUAUUCAUUUUAGAAGUUACUUCUUCCAGCUUGUUUUUAAUAGCUGUUUGGGGGGAUCAGAAUAUUUAUUCAUUUUUUUUUUCAAUUUAAGAGAGUUUCAGUGAAUGAAUUGUAUACAUUUUAUUUCUUCUGCACAGGUGUCUGGAUUACAAAAAUUACCCCCAAAACUGGUGCAAGACGGUCCAUUUGUUGGCAGCCUAACAGCAGCUGAACAGAUACGGAGAUUAUGUAAACCUUCAACACUGCAGUGUUAAGCAAUGAGUUCCAUACUUUUGGAUGGGUUAAAUGAGAGUUGCUACCCACAGAUAGGAUUUAAGAGGCUUAAAGGAAAACAUGUGAACAGGAUGGCAAAUCUAAUAUUCCAUUAUAAAUGACUUAAGAGUACAACUUAAGAUACAGUUCUGCUUAUUUAAUUCAGUACUAAAUUCUCUUUCAAAGAAGAGAGAGCUCUAUCUAUUUAUCCCUUUGGAAAUGACCAAAAGGAAGAAAACAUUUUCUCAACUGAUAUGGAUAUUAUUAUUUUCCUUAGGCAAAAUUUCUCUGUACUGAGAAUGAAUGGAAAGAACCAUGGCAGAGCCUCUCCACUGAUUUGAGUGUCUGGUGAUUGUAGAAAUCCAUACUUAUGAGUGCUGCUCUUUACACCCAGAGCGGCAGGGCUCUGAUCCCUAACUGUGACAACUAAGAACUGGUAGACAAAUAGAAACCGCGCAGCCUGUCACUGAUGUUUUUAUUUCCUGGGUAAAAUUUCUCAUCAGGUUAUUCCUUGGCUUUACAAUUUCCCAUUCAGAAAUCAAUACAGAUAUGUAGCAUUUUACUCUAAACUCAAUCACAGAGGUAAACUUUGUACUUCUUGAUAGACUUAGAAGUCUGAUGUAAGACUCAUCUGCUUUGUAGUUCAGUCCUUGUUACAGUGCAGCCCCUGCAAUCCUGUAGUCUCUCUUUGUCUCAGGACGACUCCAGCUCAGGAGAUGAGAUAUUCCUUUUUCUGUGAGACUUCUGUGGUUUGUAGUUUUGUAGAAAGGCAAUGACUACAAGACUGUUUCUCUAUUGUGCAUGAGUGCUAAUUCUUUCCGAAGUGUGUAAAUGGUUGGAAGAAUGACUAAGCAUGACAUCCUGGGAAUUUUGUGUUUAAUUCAUUCCCUUCCCUAUCUUCAUUUCUUUCUCUCAAUGACUUACAGAUUCACUUCAUUACAAAUCAGCAAAGGGUUCAAUUUGAAAACUACUCUGGGUUCUUUCAGUACUGCAACCACUAGCCAUAAGAUUCUCCGACUGGAAUUUAGCUGACUGGUUGUGGUUAAUGCACACAGCAGAAUACAACUCAAGUACUUUCACCAUCUUACUGUUUAUUGUAUAAUAACUAUUGAAACUCCAGGGUGUUUUUUUCAGUUAUAAAAUAAUCUUAGAAAUUCUUCACAAUCCAAUGUGCUGAAUAGUAAGCUACCACUUUUUAUAUGCUCAGUCACCACAUCUGAACAGACAUAGGUAGGAACCUCAUGUAAAAACAGAUAGGAAGCUGCUCUUUACUGCUUUGCUAACCAGGAGCAUCUGUAAAGCUUUUCUUAGAGAUGGUUGAGUAAGUCCUAACUUCUCAUAACUUUUCAAUAUUAGGUGGCUUUGAAUUUUAUCAGUUUUUAGGGGUUAUGCAGCUGACAUCACCAAAGUUCUGGGUUUGUUUCAAUGAUCUGUCUUGCUUUUCUUCCCUUCAUCUCUCUGAAGAGAGUUGAUAUUUGCUCAGUGCAAUGCACUUGUACAUCUCCUGUAAGUUCUUAACUUUCUGUACAAGAAAAACAAACUUCACAUGAAGUAUCCCUUGCAUCUCAGUACAUACAACUCAGACAAGAACAGGGUAGCAGUCAUACCCAAGAAGUCAGUUGUUCUUGAAAUUAGGUCUACAGACAUAUAUCUUCCCUUUAAUUGCCUUCGGAGUCCCUAAGGAAAUACUUAAUUUUUCUUUUUCCCACUUCCCCUUGAGACUUCACAGACCCUGUGAUUUUCAGUAAAGCUUGGUAUAGAUGUCUACAUAAUGACAAUUUUCUGAGGUGCCUGUUAGCAUUCUGCUGGGCUGCUGACACUGAGCUGAUACAGCUGGUUCUCCAACACCAGUUUCCUCUUCUGUGCUGAGGAGCCAGGUACCAACAUCCAAAUCCAUCUGGAAAGCAAGUUAACAUCUAUCCUGCCAAACUAAAUUGGGCCAAGAUACAGGUGACUUGAACAACUGGUAUUCAUCAGAUGCCAUUAAAUUGAAAGUGUGCUCCCUGGCACAAUUUUAGUCCCUGCAAACUCUCUCCUAGAAAAUGCCUGAGAAUAUUUAUCCUUUCCAGAAUUCAGUCUAUGGACUGUAAAACCAUCUGGCCUGUAUGUGGGAGAUCAUUCGAGUUCAGAUCUGAAGGGCAGCCUCAUUUUCCUCACUCAGCUGCCCCUCUUGGCACAGUUCUUAGUCUACUUUUCUCUCAGCUACAGAGCCAGUGGAAGCUAGUGGGGGGAAGGGGCUGUUCUUCUCACCACUGGUACAUCAUACCAGUCUAAUUGCUGUCUAAGUUACUGGUCACAAAACUUACACCUAGGAGUUACACCUAAAAUUGAGUAAGUAUUUUGCAUAUAGUGCUAGUUAUCAUCCUUUUAGUAAUAAAACAAAAGAGCAAUUUGAUGCUUCCUUUCUUUUUAUUCAGCUCCAUUUGCCCAGUAGGAACUAACAGUUUUACCACAGUAGUUUUUUGUUGCUGUUGGCUUUCAUUUAAGAUCAUGGAAGGAAUUUGGGCUUCUACUAAAAAUAGCUAUUAUAUGCUGCAUUUGUCUUCAAGAACCAGCAUACGCUGUAGCAUUACUUCCGAGUUUAGAAUACUGCAUCUUUGAUAAUGGUUUGGUAAUUCUCCCAGUAGAGAUACUAAACAGCAGUGACACCUAUCUCUAAUGAGGAGUCUGUAGCACAUGUGUUCUCUCCAACAAAAUUGAGAGGCUCUGCUAUUCUGGGCUUUUCCUUUGAUGGACAAGCAAAAUGAUGAAGACGUCUUACACAGAUACCUUUUUUCAGCUCAUCUCAGAAAAGGAUGGCUGCACAUAUAGUUAGGUGAUAUGGGCAAUGCUUUCAAAAGGAGGUUGUCAUGCUGGAAAAUCAUUGCAAACUGUCCAGCUAAGGACUAGGAUUAGUUACCAAACCUUACAUUACUUUUGUACUACAUUGAUACAGCCUUCUGUUGGGUCAAGUCAGUUCCCCAAGCAUGUGUUUAGUCUUGCAUCUUUGGAAAAAAUGAAGUUUGCAGGAGUGUUUUAUUACUGCGCUAUCUGUUGUACUGUUGGUAUUCUUCUCUUUUAAAGUUUAGAAUUUGCUCUUUGCAGAAGGCUUUUAGGUUUUCCUGUAUGUUUUCCCUUAGUUUACAUUUAAUCUAGGUCACAUUAGGAAAAUAAAUUGCUUUUUGCAUUUGCAUAAACUUUGGAAAAAAUGAAUGUUUUUGGCUAGGCAGCCCAAGGUUCUGUACAACUGCCUUCACAACUUAGCAGCAAUAAAGCUUCAAUUUCUAUUUUGCAGUGCUACAACUGGAUUUAAAAGUUAUUAAUGCAAAUGGCAGCACAACAAAUUAUAACAGGUGCUUUCCAGAUGUUCUAGUCUUUAGCCUUUACUUCCCUUUUCUUACACUGGGAAUAGUAAAAACAAACUUGGAAAGUACUGUCCACAGGUUGGAUUUGAGGAAUCUCCUCAGGUUAUAUCUGAUGACAUCGUAGGGCCAAUAAAGUUCAGCAGUAUAAAUUCAAAUCAGACAAGCAAAUCUCUUCUCUACCUGUGGGGAUCUGUAUCUUAUGUGUGAAAUACAGCUUUCUGCAGCCCUCACUGUGUUUCUCACCUCUGGAAACUGGUCUUAAGUUCUUGUCCAAACUGGAAUAUUUGCUGUCAACAAAAAAAACCCAUGGUUUUCCAACCAAUGUGUGGAAUGGUUAUAAAAGCUCCACUAGAAAUACAAGUAAAUUAAAAUUCAGAUGAUCAUUGCCCAAUUCUGUUGAGUUGAGAAAAGGCAACAAACUGUGACCCCUUGCUACCAACAGAGUCACUGAAAAGGGAAAAUCAUAUUAAUAUUUUAGAAGAGAAGUAAAAGAAACUUUUUUUGGUAUUAGUGUAUACGGUACUUUUCUGUUGUGAACCCACAAGGUGUCUCAAGAUGGGUAUACUGGGAUUUGGCCAGUAAUUGGAUGGAGGAUGCUUCUUUUUUUUUUUUUUGUUAUAGAACAUUUUACCAUUAUAUUUAACCAAAACAGUAGUACAGUGUAACAUGAGCAUGGUGAUGGGCUCGUUGUAUGUGGAACUCCUCGGUAUCUCUAUGAUUCCUUAGUGAGCCAUAAAAGCAAGACUAUUGCUACUGCACUAAUGAUCAUCUAACUUCCUUCUCCUUUUCAUUGUUUUUGUGAAAAUAAACCAUUCAAUGCCGAAGCAUAAGUUUUGUUCAAUUUAAGAAGUUAUGAGCAUAAGUUGAGUCAGGAGAUGCCAAACUCUCACCUACAUGUAAUAAGAAUGAUUUUAAGAAAGAAUAUAGAUGCUUCUGUAGCUCCUUUGGCUACAUGAGUAUGCUUUGUGUGCAUAUGCACUAACUUUUGAAAAUGAGUGUUUUCAACAUUUAGAAGUUUUCAUUUUUUGUUAGUAGUUUUCAAUAGUCCCUGUAGACAUUUGAGUGUAGCAGAAUUGUACUGGAGAGUAGAGAUGGUAAGUACUUCUUCAGGGGCAGAUAAAAUUGUUCACAUUUUCAAAACCUAUCAGACCAGACACUAUUAAAUUGUUUGUUUGAGCUCUGCUCUAUAUCCAUGAAGAUGCUGGAGACAGAACAGACACUAUGACUGCUUUCCCAUCUGGACUGCAUAGGCAACUCUUUCUGUAUGUGUGUACAAGUUUUCUGAAGGUUUAAAUUGUUGACUAAUACUGGUAAUAACUGCAGUGCCAAUUAAGACAGAAGAAUGCUGGAAAAGUGGAAAAACAAUGAUACCCUGGGAUUGUAGAAAGAUGAGAUCACUCACGGAUAUGUUGAAUGCUAACAUUAUGUGACUGCCGAUGACCCAGGGGCAGAAUCACUCACUCAGCUUUCAGUGGCUAAAGGGAAAAGUUUGUGGAUAUAAUCCCUAGAGCUGCAAGGAUAAUUUGUCCAGGGAUAGGUUCAUUUUUGUUUGACAGUUUUUUCAGUGCUCAGCUUGAAGAGCAGGAGGAUCAAGGCAAUUCAAUAUGUUUCUACUUCCAGUAACUCAGAAAAAAAACCAAUAAAACUACAGAAAAAAUGAAUUAAAAAAAGAACCUCCAAACCACAAAUCUGCAGAAAAAUCCUGAGAUUUGAGAGAAAGAUGCAAUUCAUAUAUUUUCCUUUUGCAUUACAAGAUACUUGCCUGUGUUGCAUUUCUUCUCUCCUAUUCUAGGUAUGAAGGGGGGUGGGGGUGAAACGAGGGUCACUAGUAAGGACGCUGUAUGUAAUGAGCCAGUGCUUCUGGGAGGGGCUUGUGCUAGUAAAAUCCCACAGUCUUGUGGGAGGAAUGAGGAGGACAACACACCCUUUUGUAGGAAGAACACAAGGGAUGAUGUGAGGUUGGUGGCUUUGAUAACACGUGAGCAUGGACAAGAUGGUAUUGGGGCUUUAGGAAGCUGUGGGGGAGAACUUCAGAUUUCUUCUGGAAGUUUGAUGGAGGGCCCCUCUAGAAAGGUAGUAUGCCGGAAAGCCCAGCUGAAGUGCCUUUACACUAAUGCAUGCAGCAUGGGAAAUAAG
Long non-coding RNA from Numida meleagris (helmeted guineafowl), 6509 nucleotides. RefSeq lists it as uncharacterized. The transcript is spliced from 3 exons. NCBI's taxonomy places the organism in Eukaryota, Metazoa, Chordata, Aves, Galliformes, Numididae. The record is from RefSeq and is a predicted model, not a curated record.